UGGGGAAUUUUGCACAAUGGGGGAAACCCUGAUGCAGCGACGCCGCGUGAUUUAGAAGGCCUUCGGGUUGUAAAAAUCUUUUCUAUGGGAAGAAAAUGACAGUACCAUAGGAAUAAGGACCGACUAAUUACGUGCCAGCAGCCGCGGUAAUACGUAAGGUCCGAGCGUUGUCCGGAAUCAUUGGGCGUAAAGGGUACGUAGGCGGGUAAGCAAGUUAGAAGUGAAAUCCUGUAGCUCAACUACAGUAAGCUUUUAAAACUGCUCAUCUUGAGAUAUGGAAGGGAAAGUGGAAUUCCUAGUGUAGCGGUGAAAUGCGCAGAUAUUAGGAGGAAUACCGGUGGCGAAGGCGACUUUCUGGCCAUAAUCUGACGCUGAGGUACGAAAGCGUGGGUAGCAAACAGG
This 402-nucleotide ribosomal RNA is filed under the name Bacteroidota bacterium. Its description in RNAcentral is "Bacteroidetes bacterium partial 16S ribosomal RNA". It matches the Rfam family "Bacterial small subunit ribosomal RNA", at positions 355 to 776 of the family's 1533-position model. Lineage: Bacteria; Pseudomonadati; Bacteroidota. RNAcentral also lists the same sequence under 1 other name. The record is from RNAcentral.